GGCACCCGCUCCGGGGCCACCGCACCAGGUGCCCACAUGAUUCUGCCACUGCCAGGCCCCCAGGUCACAGAACCUGAAGGGCAACUGAGAGCAGAGAGCAUUCCCCGCCCCCUGGGCAGUUGGCCACAGCCUCUGUGUGUCCUGGAACGCCUUGGCCUUCUGUGGAGUCUCAAGGAGCUGGCUUGACUGAAAAGGUCGUGAACUUAAGAAAUCUAGCCGGGGAACGGGCCUCUGUGCUCUGCUUCUUCUACACUGAUAUCUGCCCGCAUGCUGCUGCUUCUGAAACACAGGCUGGAGAUGAAAUAAUCCGGGGCCUCACAGAUGAAAUGUGAUCAGCCAUCUUGCUCCUGCAACCCUGCCUUGCCUUCCACACCCACAAUGGAGCCUACUCUUCAGGAACCAUGAGUUAAUGAGAACCUUUCCCCCCUCCUGUUGCUUUGGUCAUGGUAUUUUGUCGCAGAAACAGAAAAAACCUUCAUCUGGCGAUGGAUGGAAAUAGAGACAGAGCCCCACAUUGGAGCACUGGAC
Arvicola amphibius (Eurasian water vole) is the source of this 528-nucleotide long non-coding RNA. RefSeq lists it as uncharacterized. The record is from RefSeq and is a predicted model, not a curated record. NCBI's taxonomy places the organism in Eukaryota, Metazoa, Chordata, Mammalia, Rodentia, Cricetidae. The transcript is spliced from 4 exons.